CUCUCUCUCUCUAUGGUUGAUGAAGGACACCAGCUGCGCACGAGCUCCACCUACCUGCCCCGCGCGUGCCUCCAAAACUCACCCCUGCCUGCAGCUAAUACUUAAAACACAGUUAGCAGAGACGUUUCUCAAAGAAGGAGAUGUGUGAACGAGCGAGCGGUUGAUGGGGCAUGAGGGAUGGCAAGAGGAAAGGGGAGGUCUGCAUCAUUGAUGUCGAAAUGGAGAAGCUGAUGUCGUGGGAAGCUGAAAUCGGACUGAAGCAUGGUUUGGAGGACGAUAGGGCGAACUGAGACUACCACAGGCUUCUGUCUGAGCUGCCACAGGGCUGCGGUGGCAGCGUUCUCACACCAGCCACUUCCUCAGCCUUCUCACGCUAUGAGGCUCACUGAGCUGUCAGUAUCGUUCAGCGCGCAUAUGCGUGAGGGGACCGUACAUAUCUCUUCGUGAAAGCUUUAAAGCCAGCCUGCGUUUGGGAACAGAUGGUUAGAAACUCAUCAGUGACCCAGUUUGUAUGUACCAUAUCAGGGGAACUAUUUUCUUCCUCACACAAGUAUAUUUUCUUUCCAGCUACAGUGUGACUAGAUUAGCAAACAUGGAAUUAAUUAAUUAAAUAAAUAAAUAAAAUAAAAAAAAUAAUAAUACUAAUAAAAAUAAAAAAGUCAACAAAGAAUAGCAAACACACAGAUGACUGUUCACCUUGUUUAUUCUAAAUAAAAUAUUGCACCAAAAUAACUAAAAUUGUCGAAAUAACAAUGAAGAUGUUUGUCAUGAAGCCCCUGUAUCCCUGAAAAGUCGUCUUCGUAUUAAAAACCUGUGCUGUGAUGACCUCUUGUGGCUGAUUCUCGGUAUUACACUAAAUAAGAAAUGGCUAAAUCUGCGUUAAACUAGUCUAUUCUUUACAUUUAGACUUCAGCUUUAACAUAAUGCAUAGAGGCUUGGUACUUAUAGAGAGCUUUAAGACAUUGAAAGUCAUAGGUACCCAAGUUCCUCUAUACCUGGAAGCUGACUUCUGCUCUACUGGUUUCAUUCUGAUGUCUGGAUUUGACUCAUGUACUUAUGCCUUUGACCAAAAUUUACAUUCAUUUUAGUCCU
Molecule: long non-coding RNA, 1092 nt
Organism: Mugil cephalus (flathead mullet)
Lineage: Eukaryota; Metazoa; Chordata; Actinopteri; Mugiliformes; Mugilidae
Exons: 3
Source: RefSeq, a predicted model, not a curated record